UUGAAAGAAGCCAAAAAGAGGCAUGUCACUGUUAAUGAUAGAACUGAAAUUUAUUUCCUUUCGAG
This 65-nucleotide transfer RNA is filed under the name Scyllarides haanii. Its description in RNAcentral is "tRNA-Asn". The record is from RNAcentral. Lineage: Eukaryota; Metazoa; Arthropoda; Malacostraca; Decapoda; Scyllaridae.